This 265-nucleotide ribosomal RNA is filed under the name uncultured bacterium. RNAcentral describes it as "partial 16S ribosomal RNA". It matches the Rfam family "Bacterial small subunit ribosomal RNA", at positions 793 to 1055 of the family's 1533-position model. The record is from RNAcentral.
GUCCUAGCCGUAAACGAUGUACACUAGGUGUCGGGCCCUCUGGGUUCGGUGCCGCAGUUAACACUUUAAGUGUACCACCUGGGGAGUACGGUCGCAAGACUGAAACUCAAAGGAAUUGACGGGGACCCGCACAAGCGGUGGAGCAUGUGGUUUAAUACGACGCUACGCGUGGAACCUUACCAGGACUUGACAUGCAUCUGAAAUCCUAUCGAAAGUUAGGACCUGUCCUAAAGACACAGAUACACAGGUGUUGCAUGGCUGUCGU